RNAcentral lists this ribosomal RNA (250 nucleotides) under uncultured bacterium. RNAcentral describes it as "partial 16S ribosomal RNA". It matches the Rfam family "Bacterial small subunit ribosomal RNA", at positions 524 to 773 of the family's 1533-position model. The record is from RNAcentral.
UACGGAGGGAGCGAACGUUGUUCGGAUUCACUGGGCGUAAAGGGCGUGUAGGCGGUCUGGCAAGUCAGGGGUGAAAUCCCAGGGCUCAACCUCGGAACUGCCUUUGAUACUGCGAAUCUCGAGUCCGGAAGAGGUGAGUGGAAUUCCUAGUGUAGAGGUGAAAUUCGUAGAUAUUAGGAAGAACACCAGUGGCGAAGGCGGCUCACUGGUCCGGUACUGACGCUGAGGUGCGAAAGCGUGGGGAGCAAAC